This 492-nucleotide ribosomal RNA is filed under the name uncultured bacterium. RNAcentral's name for it is "partial 16S ribosomal RNA". It matches the Rfam family "Bacterial small subunit ribosomal RNA", at positions 29 to 507 of the family's 1533-position model. The record is from RNAcentral.
AGUGAACGCUGGCGGUAGGCCUAACACAUGCAAGUCGAACGGCAGCACAGUAAGAGCUUGCUCUUACGGGUGGCGAGUGGCGGACGGGUGAGGAAUACAUCGGAAUCUACUUUUUCGUGGGGGAUAACGUAGGGAAACUGACGCUAAUACCGCAUACGACCUACGGGUGAAAGCAGGGGAUCUUCGGACCUUGCGCGAUUGAAUGAGCCGAUGUCGGAUUAGCUAGUUGGCGGGGUAAAGGCCCACCAAGGCGACGAUCCGUAGCUGGUCUGAGAGGAUGAUCAGCCACACUGGAACUGAGACACGGUCCAGACUCCUACGGGAGGCAGCAGUGGGGAAUAUUGGACAAAGGGCGCAAGCCUGAUCCAGCCAUACCGCGUGGGUGAAGAAGGCCUUCGGGUUGUAAAGCCCUUUUGUUGGGAAAGAAAAGCAGCAGGUUAAUACCCCGCUGUUCUGACGGUACCCAAAGAAUAAGCCCCGGCUAACUUCGUG